ACAAGGAUUCCCCGAGUACGGCGAGCGAAAGGGGAGGAGCCCAGCGCUGAAUCCCCCGGUCCUGCAGGGCCGGCGGGAAAUGUAGCGUAUAGGAGGGUCGAGUACUCUCGCGGCGCGGCGGCCGGUCCAAGUCCCUCUUGAAGGGGGCCCAGCUCCUGAGAAGGUGCCAGGCCUGUGGGACGGUUGCCGCUCGCGAGACGACCGUCUCCUUGGAGUAGGGUUGCUCGAAAGUGCAACUUGAAGUGGGUGGUAAAUUCCAUCUAAGGCUAAAUACAACCACGAGACCGAUAGCGAACAAGUACCGUGAGGGAAAGUUGAAAAGGACUUUGAAGAGAGAGUUCAAGAGUGCGUGAAACCGUUCCGGGGUAAACGGGUGGAGCCCUAAACUCCGACCGGAGAGAUUCAGUGUCCGUUCGUUCCGCCGCACGCGUGCGCUUCGGGUGGGUACGCGGGUCGCGUUCGCGCGACCCGCCGACCCGGCGUCGUUUAUGCGACGGGCGACGGUGCGCACUUCUCUCCCAGUAGGACGCCGCGACCCGUCGGGAUGCAGUCGGCUCUACGGCCCGGGUGUGCUGACCGCGACCCGCUCCUCACGGAGCGAGGCCGCGAGCCCCCGGUGUUCCCGAGCCGACCCCGACGGUGUUUUCGUUACGGACCACUCCCGCUGUCGCUUUUUGCGUAGCGCCCGUGCCCCGCGCGAGCGUGUGCCCGUCAUACGUCCGUGGACCCUCGUGUCCGCGGCGUUCGGGCGCCGCGUUGUCCGCGCGGGGUCUUCUCGGGCUGGGAGCCGUGUCUCGUSGGCGGCGCGCUUAAGAGCGACCCACCCGGCCCYUCUUGAAACACGGACCAAGGAGUYUAACAUGUGCGCGAGUCAUUGGGUGCCACUAAACCCAAAGGCGAAUUGAAAGAAAAGGCGGGCCGUCUCCUUCGGGGGGCGCCUGCUUUCGGGAAGAUGGGGCGGCGCUCGCGUCUCCCCCGCACUCCCGGGGCGUCUCAUCCUAGCCCGUCAAACGGCAAGGCGAGGCGCACCAAGAGCGCACACGUUGGUACCCGAAAGAUGGUGAACUAUGCCUGGUGAGGACGAAGUCAGGGGAAACCCUGAUGGAGGUCCGUAGCGAUUCUGACGUGCAAAUCGAUCGUCGGAACUAGGUAUAGGGGCGAAAGACUAAUCGAACCAUNUAGUAGCUGGUUCCCUCCGAAGUUUCCCUCAGGAUAGCUAGUGCUCGGAGACUCGAAUCCCAUCCGGUAAGCGAAUGAUUAGAGGUCUUGGGUUCGAAACGUUCUCAACCUAUUCUCAAACUUUAAAUGGGUGGGACCCGCGGCUUGCUUAACGGCUGAAGCCGCGGUCUCGGAUCGAGAGUAUUUAGUGGGCCGUUUUUGGUAAGCAGAACCGGCGCUGUGGGAUGAACCAAACGCCGGGUUAAGGCGCCUAAAAGAUGCUCAUGUGACACCAUGAAAGGUGUUGGUUGCUUAAGACAGCAGGACGGUGGCCAUGGAAGUCGGCAUCCGCUAAGGAGUGUGUAACAACUCACCUGCCGAAGCAACUAGCCCUGAAAAUGGAUGGCGCUGAAGCUUCUUGCCUAUACCCGGCCGCCGGGGCAGUCGCGCGCGGUUUCAUCGCCGCGCGUCGCGAAGCCCCGGCGAGUAGGAGGGCGCGACGGUGUGCGCAGAAGGGUCUGGGCGUGAGCCUGCCUGGAGCCGCCGUCGGUGCAGAUCUUGGUGGUAGUAGCAAAUAUUCAAGAGAGGACCUUGAGGGCUGAGGUGGAGAAGGGUUCCGUGUGAACAGCCGUUGCACACGGGUCAGUCGAUCCUAAGCCCUAGGAGAAAUCCGAUGACGAUGGUCGCGGGAUUUUUGUGAAAUUUUUUUAAUCACCCGUCGGGGAGGAGAUGGGCUSUCWUANGACCUUUCCCGCAUUGUYGAGAUGAAAUUGRAAACCGACGUGUUCGCUACAGUACGGUCCGACAUAAAACAACGUGUGACAACGCUCACUCAGUGCGUCCGCCUCUUCUCGAGUGCGUACGGCGUCGGGUUUGUGUGUGUCYGUCGUUGAAAAAAGUAGURCCGUCGACUGCGACUCGGUUUUUGCGAUUUUUUAUCUCGGGCGACGUCGUUCRCAGCWGGGUCUUUGCCCACCCCAUGGWCGGUUUUUUAAAAUCAGCAUUUCUCACCCCGUCCGUCGGGCGAAAGGGAAUCCGUUUCCUAUUACGGAACCUGGUUGCGGAACCGCACCACGAUCUUCGUAUUGACGCGGUAACGCGAAUGAGCCUAGAGACGCCGUCUGGAGCCUCGGGAAGAGUUUUCUUUUCUCUAUAAGCGUUCGGGUUCCAUGGAAUCCUCUCGCAGGGAGAUAUGGAAUGGAACGCGAAGAGCACCGCAGUUGCUGUGGUGUCCGGGGAUUCUCGUCGGCCCUUGAAAAUCUAGGUGAAGGUCACGUGGAGGUGUCGCACCAGAUCGUACCCAUAUCCGCAGCAGGUCUCCAAGGUC
RNAcentral lists this ribosomal RNA (2485 nucleotides) under Hyrtanella sp. EP144. RNAcentral describes it as "eukaryotic LSU rRNA". It matches the Rfam family "Eukaryotic large subunit ribosomal RNA", at positions 68 to 1875 of the family's 3401-position model. Lineage: Eukaryota; Metazoa; Arthropoda; Insecta; Ephemeroptera; Ephemerellidae. The record is from RNAcentral.